Molecule: ribosomal RNA, 281 nt
Filed under: uncultured prokaryote
Description: partial 16S ribosomal RNA
Rfam family: Bacterial small subunit ribosomal RNA
Source: RNAcentral
UACGUAGGUGGCAAGCGUUGUCCGGAUUUAUUGGGCGUAAAGCGCGCGUAGGCGGCUGCCUAAGCGGAACCUCUAAUCCUGGGGCUCAACCUCAGGCCGGGUUCCGAACUGGGCGGCUCGAGUGCGGUAGGGGCAGGUGGAAUUCCCGGUGUAGCGGUGGAAUGCGCAGAUAUCGGGAGGAACACCGGUGGCGAAGGCGGCUUUCUGGCCAGUUACUGACGCUCAUGCGCGAAAGCUGGGGUAGCGAACCGGAUUAGAUACCCCGGUAGUCCCUGAGCGGG